This 150-nucleotide ribosomal RNA is filed under the name Nesticus paynei. RNAcentral's name for it is "partial 16S ribosomal RNA". The record is from RNAcentral. Lineage: Eukaryota; Metazoa; Arthropoda; Arachnida; Araneae; Nesticidae.
GUUAAAAUAAGUAAGUCUGUUCGACUUUUCAAAAAUUACAUGAUUUGAACUCAAAUCAGUGAAAAACAGAUUGGUUUCUAUCUUUAAUAAGAAAUUUAUUAGUACGAAAGAACCAUAAACAAAAUUAAUUAAUUUCUUAAUGGCAGAAAA